Molecule: long non-coding RNA, 1284 nt
Organism: Anser brachyrhynchus (Pink-footed goose)
Lineage: Eukaryota; Metazoa; Chordata; Aves; Anseriformes; Anatidae
Source: Ensembl
CUCUGGGAAAAAAAAUAUAAAGACCUGUAAUCUGAAACAGUGUUUUUUUCACAUUUCUUUGCCUAUAUAUUUUAUGAAGAUUAUAACUGCAUUGCUUACUUCAGAUGCUAUAAAUGCAUGCUUUUAUUUUAAAUCAUAUCUUAGUCAAACAUGAGCUAAGUAGGAUUUUAAAGUACCCAGAAAAAAGCAAGAUUUCAUCUGUUACCUAAAUAAGGAGUCAUUCUCUUCUUACUGAGGCUAGCUUAACAAGUGCUUAGUUCAUGGGAAUGUCAUCAAUGCUAAGUGUGUCAUCAGGGAGGCUUUGCGGGCAAGGUAGAGAACUGGUAUUGUAGUCAAAUCAGGAAGAAGUGAUUUUUCAAUCAUAAUCAGAAAGUCUAUUUGGAUAAAGGUAUAUUAGUGAUUAAAUCCUCAUUGUCCCCAGGGACUUUGUCACUGUUCAUGAGGUAGAAAAAGAAGGUGGAGCUUGAUGUGCUGCCCAGUAGUGUAUUAAUACAAGAUGCCAUAAAAAAGAAAAUGGGAUCUCAUUAUUGCAAUGUGUGCCUUUUCCUCCCCAGAUGGAGACAUUUUAGAAUUGCAUACAACUUCUUGGAAAGGCUGUAUUUGGACUCAAAUACUCAGCAGUUCCAGUAAAUAAGCUUAGGGAGGAAAUGAGUGCAAUGAAGAGCCACUGAAAUAAUAAAGCUGUCAUAAGGCGUCAAUUGCAAUGGAAAAGGGAAAUGGAAUCUAUGCAAUUGCCAACUGAAAAGAAGAAAAAAAUACAGCACAAAAUGGGACAGUUGUAUACGAAACUGAAAUGCCAGGAAUAAAUGGCUAUUGCAUGAAAGUUUAUGUGCUUGGAAAGUGGAAAAAAAUGAGCAAAGUCAUAUCCUAGUGUUUCCAAUUCAGAUGUUGGAAUUGCAACUUCAUUGCACGUAUUUUUCCUAUUACUUGGGAACACAGGUUAACACAAAUGAACAAAAUGGUUCUAUACCCUGCAGCCACAGAACUAUGAAUUUAGAUGAGUCAUUAUUGGAAGUACUUCAUGCUAAGUCAGGGAACUAUGUGAAUACAAGAAAAUGAGUGGGAGAAAAUAGGGUUAAGAUAUAUUAAAUCAGAUGGAUGUGGUGUCUGUUCUGGCCUUCAACUAGAGUAACGUGCCUAAAAGAAGUCACUAAGAAUUAUAGAACAAGACAUUACUGUUAAGUUCUAUUUGUGCAGCUGAGAAGAGCUGUCUCUUAUUUUUUAACUAGUAACUUUUGGUCAGAUUGUUUAGAAAGCAAGACCAUGACUGAUGCUGUGGUGUAC